This 395-nucleotide unclassified non-coding RNA is filed under the name soil metagenome. RNAcentral's name for it is "partial contains 5.8S ribosomal RNA, internal transcribed spacer 2, and large subunit ribosomal RNA". The stretch from base 1 to 120 matches the Rfam family "5.8S ribosomal RNA", at positions 35 to 154 of the family's 154-position model. The record is from RNAcentral.
GAUGAAGAACGUAGCGAAAUGCGAUAAGUAAUGUGAAUUGCAGAAUUCAGUGAAUCAUCGAAUCUUUGAACGCACCUUGCGCUCCUUGGUAUUCCGAGGAGCAUGCCUGUUUGAGUGUCAUUAAAUUCUCAACCAUUAUCAACUUUUGCUGAUAAUGGCUUGGAUGUGGGGGUCUAUUUUGCUGGCUUCUCAGAUAGUCAGCUCCCCUUAAAUGCAUUAGCCGGUGCCCCGCGUGGACUGUCUAUUGGUGUGAUAAUUAUCUACGCUAUAGACAUCUGCAAUCAUAUGGGUUUGCGCUGCUUCUAACGGUCUGUUGAUUCAGACAAUACAUGACAAUUUGACCUCAAAUCAGGUAGGACUACCCGCUGAGCUUAAGCAUAUCAAUAAGCGGAGGA